AGCGAACGCUGGCGGCAGGCCUAACACAUGCAAGUCGAACGAUCCUUCGGGAUAGUGGCGGACGGGUGAGUAACACGUGGGAACGGGCCUUUUGGUUCGGAACAACUCAGGGAAACUUGAGCUAAUACCGGAUGUGCCCUUCGGGGGAAGGAUUUAUCGCCAUUAGAGCGGCCCGCGUCUGUUUAGCUAGUUGGUGGGGCAAAGGCCUACCAAGGCGACGAUCAGUAGCUGGUCUGAGAGGAUGAUCAGCCACAUUGGGACUGAGACACGGCCCAAACUCCUACGGGAGGCAGCAGUGGGGAAUCUUGCGCAAUGGGCGAAAGCCUGACGCAGCCAUGCCGCGUGAAUGAUGAAGGUCUUAGGAUUGUAAAAUUCUUUCACCGGGGACGAUAAUGACGGUACCCGGAGAAGAAGCCCCGGCUAACUUCGUGCCAGCCGCCGCUGUAA
This 447-nucleotide ribosomal RNA is filed under the name uncultured bacterium. RNAcentral's name for it is "partial 16S ribosomal RNA". It matches the Rfam family "Bacterial small subunit ribosomal RNA", at positions 29 to 523 of the family's 1533-position model. The record is from RNAcentral.